CGGCGAGUGAAGCGGCAACAGCUCAAAUUUGAAAUCUGGCUCCUUUGGAGUCCGAGUUGUAAUUUGUAGAGGGUGCUUUGGCGUUGGUUGUGGUCUAAGUUCCUUGGAACAGGACGUCACAGAGGGUGAGAAUCCCGUACGUGGCCGCCAGCCUCCGCCGUGUAAAGCCCCUUCGAUGAGUCGAGUUGUUUGGGAAUGCAGCUCUAAAUGGGAGGUAAAUUUCUUCUAAAGCUAAAUAUUUGCCAGAGACCGAUAGCGCACAAGUAGAGUGAUCGAAAGAUGAAAAGCACUUUGGAAAGAGAGUCAAAAAGCACGUGAAAUUGUUGAAAGGGAAGCGCUUGCAGCUAGACGUGCCUUGGGUUGAUCAGCCGGACUUUUGCCCGGUGCACUCUUCCUUUGGCAGGCCAGCAUCAGUUUGGGCGGCUGGAUAAAGGUCUGUUAAACGUGACUUCCUUCGGGGAGAGCUUAUAGGGCAGACGACAUGCAGCCAGCCUGAACUGAGGUCCGCGCAUCUGCUAGGAUGCUGGCAUAAUAGCUGUAAGCGGCCCGUCUUGAAACACGGACCAAGGAGUCUAACAUCUAUGCGAGUGUUUGGGUGUCAAGCCCGAGCGCGUAAUGAAAGUAAACGUAGGUGGGAACCUUUUAGGUGCACCAUCGACCGAUCUUGAUGUCUUCGGAUGGAUUUGAGUAAGAGCAUAGCUGUUGGGACCCGAAAGAUGGUGAACUAUGCCUGAAUAGGGUGAAGCCAGAGGAAACUCUGGUGGAGGCUCGCAGCGGUUCUGACGUGCAAAUCGAUCGUCAAAUUUGGGCAUAGGGGCGAAAGACUAAUCGAAC
This 834-nucleotide ribosomal RNA is filed under the name Lophiostoma rosae. Its description in RNAcentral is "eukaryotic LSU rRNA". It matches the Rfam family "Eukaryotic large subunit ribosomal RNA", at positions 87 to 940 of the family's 3401-position model. Lineage: Eukaryota; Fungi; Ascomycota; Dothideomycetes; Pleosporales; Lophiostomataceae. The record is from RNAcentral.